GAGGGCAUAGCUUAAGAGGUAGAGUGCAUGCUUAGCAUGCACGAGGUCCUAGGUUCAAUCCCCAGUACCUCCU
Transfer RNA from Camelus ferus (Wild Bactrian camel), 73 nucleotides. It matches the Rfam family "tRNA". From Rfam's summary of the family: Transfer RNA (tRNA) molecules are approximately 80 nucleotides in length. Their secondary structure includes four short double-helical elements and three loops (D, anti-codon, and T loops). Further hydrogen bonds mediate the characteristic L-shaped molecular structure. tRNAs have two regions of fundamental functional importance: the anti-codon, which is responsible for specific mRNA codon recognition, and the 3' end, to which the tRNAs corresponding amino acid is attached (by aminoacyl-tRNA synthetases). tRNAs cope with the degeneracy of the genetic code in two manners: having more than one tRNA (with a specific anti-codon) for a particular amino acid; and 'wobble' base-pairing, i.e. permitting non-standard base-pairing at the 3rd anti-codon position. NCBI's taxonomy places the organism in Eukaryota, Metazoa, Chordata, Mammalia, Artiodactyla, Camelidae. The record is from Rfam.